This 775-nucleotide ribosomal RNA is filed under the name uncultured Neocallimastigales. Its description in RNAcentral is "partial large subunit ribosomal RNA". It matches the Rfam family "Eukaryotic large subunit ribosomal RNA", at positions 22 to 645 of the family's 3401-position model. The record is from RNAcentral. Lineage: Eukaryota; Fungi; Neocallimastigomycota; Neocallimastigomycetes; Neocallimastigales.
UACACGCUGUGACUAGCAUAUCAAUAAGCGGAGGAAAAGAAACUAACAAGGAUUCCCCUAGUAACGGCGAGUGAAGCGGGGAAGAGCUCAAAUUUGAAAUCUUAAAGGGUUUCCCUUUACGAAUUGUAGUUUAAAGAAGUGUUUUCUGUUGAGGUUUUGGUAAAAGUUCUUUGGAAUAGGACAUCAUAGAGGGUGAGAAUCCCGUAUUUGACCUUUACUUUCAACUUUGUGAUACACUUUCAAAGAGUCGGAUUGUUUGGGAAUGCAGUCCAAAAUGGGUGGUAAAUUUCAUCUAAAGCUAAAUAUUGGCGAGAGACCGAUAGCGAACAAGUACCGUGAGGGAAAGAUGAAAAGAACUUUGAAAAGAGAGUUAAACAGUACGUGAAAUUGUCAAAAGGGAAGCGUUUGACACCAGUGUUGUUUUUCUGAAAAUCAAUUAAAGAACUGUUUACUGCUAAGCUGUUUAGACUUUAUCAGCUAACUGUUUAGUUUUGAGCUUUUCUUUAAUGCACUUUUCAGUUAACAAGUCAACAUCAAUUUCUUUUGCUGUAAAAAAGCUUGAGGAAGGUGGCUUGAGAUUCGUCUUAAGUGUUUAUAGCCUCUUGCCUAUGCAGUCGGAGAGAUUGAGGUCUGCAGCGUAGAUCCUUCGGGGCUAAAUGCAUUUGUGCUAAGUUAUAGCAUUUUAUAGACAACUUGUUGACUAUGAUUUGUCUUGUAGCUUACUCGCUUAUGUUAUUUUACCUACGCUUAGGAUGUUGAAGUCAUCGUAUCGCGC